Molecule: small nuclear RNA, 105 nt
Filed under: Catagonus wagneri (Chacoan peccary)
Lineage: Eukaryota; Metazoa; Chordata; Mammalia; Artiodactyla; Tayassuidae
Source: RNAcentral
GUGCUCGCUUCGGCAGCACAUAUACUAAAAUUGGAACCAUACAGAGAAGAUUAGCAUGGCCCCUGCACAACGAUGACACAAAUUCAUGAAGUGUUCCAUAUUAAA